RNAcentral lists this long non-coding RNA (1171 nucleotides) under Olea europaea subsp. europaea. The record is from RNAcentral. Lineage: Eukaryota; Viridiplantae; Streptophyta; Magnoliopsida; Lamiales; Oleaceae.
UUGAUUAAUGUUUUCUUAUUUAAGCAACCUUUACUUUCUUAAAAAGAGGGUGGGCUUGUUUAAAAAUGUUAAUCUUAGAAUUUGACAUUGAAUUUUAGAUUGGUAAUUUGGUAGAAUUUCUCAUUCGAAUUUUUUUGGUAAGAAAAAGAAAAAUAUGCAUGCAUUUAGAGCGGCUAUACGUUUGAUAGAUAGAAAUUUUUGUCUAAUCUUAAGUAUUCUUUAAAACGUCCAAUCUACCAUAUUAAACACGCUCUAAACCUCUAGACCAGACGUUUAAGAAAGAGAGAGACGUGAAAGAAUCUUGAUUUGAUUAACAUAGUGCUUGCCUAUCUCCUUUCUUAUCUUUACCUAGAGUCAUCCAUUCCACAUCCCUUUAUCCCUCCUUAUCUUUAUUUAAAGCACAGGGAAAUUCUCCAAGCAAAUUCUUGGUAGUGUCCUUAGCCAUUUGAGGAACCCUUCAAAAGGUACUCUCCAUGAUCACUAUUCAGGUUUUUGAUUUUGGGAAAUUAUUUGUCAACAAAAGUUUGAUUCUUUUUACAUUCUUUUUUCUACAUUCCCUCAAAUGUCAGCCACAUAAUUUUCUUACAUAAACUGUACAACGUUUAAUGAUUUCAGGACAGUAACAACAUCAAUUCAAACAAUGAGUAGUAAAGAUAUGAAGGUUGAAAUUCCCUCAGAGUCUGAAGUUAUAUCUCCAUCAUCUGCUGGGAAGCUUGCUAGACAAGGAAGUACUUCAAGAAAUAAUUGCUUAUGCUCACCAACAACUCAUGCAGGUUCCUUCCGUUGCAGGCUUCAUCGUACCCCGACCCCGUCCCUCAACCAUACAAAGAGCAUCGACUCAACAUCUUUCCAGGAUACUCGAUCCAAAGCCAAUCCGAGUACGGAUACUUCCAGGCAAAAUAAUGCUAUGAACAAUCAAGCUGUGUUCUGUGAUUAAUUUAUGGGUUUUAUGAGUUUUAUUUCUGAUAGAUAGGCCUAUUAUGCAGCAUAUCAGAAGGCCUAACUCCUAAGCCAAAAAUUGUAGUUUCAACCCAUAUAUGAAUUCUGUGUAUUGGUUAAUUUGAGACCUUUUUUUGCCUUCUUUCAGUGCUCUAUUUCUGCUACAAGAAUAACGUUAAUGAAUAAUCAUUGUCUAAGCACGAAUGAUCAUCACAAACAAGGAUUAUGGAAU